Molecule: small RNA, 491 nt
Filed under: Pan troglodytes (chimpanzee)
Lineage: Eukaryota; Metazoa; Chordata; Mammalia; Primates; Hominidae
Description: retained intron
Source: RNAcentral
CUGGGAUGCAAUGGAUUAAGAAGGGAUGAUGUAUGACUCUUCUGUGUUUGUCAGCAUCUAGGCUAGGCCCUGAUCCCAGGGAACCUGUGCUGCAAAUGUCCAUUCAUUCAUUCAUUCGUUCAUUUGUUCAUUAAUUCAUUUGUUCAUCCAUCAACCUCCUUUCUUCACAGGUAGACAUGUAUGCAGGUGCCAUCUUCAUCCAGCAGUCUUUGCACCUAGAUCUGUACCUGGCCAUAGUUGGGCUGCUGGCCAUCACUGCUGUAUACACGGUUGCUGGUGGCCUGGCUGCUGUGAUCUACACGGAUGCCCUGCAGACGCUGAUCAUGCUUAUAGGAGCGCUCACCUUGAUGGGCUACAGUUUCGCCGCGGUUGGUGGGAUGGAAGGCCUGAAGGAGAAGUACUUCUUGGCCCUGGCUAGCAACCGGAGUGAGAACAGCAGCUGCGGGCUGCCCCGGGAAGAUGCCUUCCAUAUUUUCCGAGAUCCGCUGACA